RNAcentral lists this ribosomal RNA (401 nucleotides) under uncultured bacterium. RNAcentral describes it as "bacterial SSU rRNA". It matches the Rfam family "Bacterial small subunit ribosomal RNA", at positions 356 to 773 of the family's 1533-position model. The record is from RNAcentral.
CGGGAAUAUUGGGCAAUGGGGGAAACCCUGACCCAGCAACGCCGCGUGAGGGAAGAAGGCCUUCGGGUUGUAAACCUCUGUCAUAUGAGAAGAAGGAAUGACAGUAUCAUAUGAGGAAGCUCCGGCUAACUACGUGCCAGCAGCCGCGGUAAUACGUAGGGAGCGAGCGUUGUCCGGAAUUACUGGGCGUAAGGGGUGCGUAGGCGGCAUGUUAAGUUAGAUGUCAAAUUCCCGGGCUUAACCCGGGUUCGCAUCUAAAACUGGCGUGCUUGAGUGCAGGAGAGGAAAGUGGAAUUCCUAGUGUAGCGGUGGAAUGCGUAGAUAUUAGGAGGAACACCAGUGGCGAAGGCGACUUUCUGGACUGUAACUGACGCUGAAGCACGAAAGCGUGGGGAGCAAAC